UGUGGUUUAAUUCGAUGCAACGCGAAGAACCUUACCUGGUCUUGACAUCCCGGAGACCCUUAGGAAACUAGGGGUGCUUCCAUCUGGAAGAAUCUGGAGACAGGUGCUGCAUGGCUGUCGUCAGCUCGUGUCGUGAGAUGUUGGGUUAAGUCCCGCAACGAGCGCAACCCUUGCCUUUAGUUGCCAGCAGUUCGGCUGGGCACUCUAAAGGGACUGCCGGUGUUAAACCGGAGGAAGGUGGGGAUGACGUCAAGUCCUCAUGGCCUUUAUGACCAGGGCUACACACGUACUACAAUGGCCGAUACAAAGGGCAGCGACACUGCGAGGUGAAGCCAAUCCCGUAAAAUCGGUCUCAGUCCGGAUUGGAGUCUGCAACUCGACUCCAUGAAGUUGGAAUCGCUAGUAAUCGUGGAUCAGCAUGCCACGGUGAAUACGUUCCCGGGCCUU
RNAcentral lists this ribosomal RNA (447 nucleotides) under uncultured Desulfobulbus sp. RNAcentral describes it as "bacterial SSU rRNA". It matches the Rfam family "Bacterial small subunit ribosomal RNA", at positions 940 to 1382 of the family's 1533-position model. The record is from RNAcentral. Lineage: Bacteria; Pseudomonadati; Thermodesulfobacteriota; Desulfobulbia; Desulfobulbales; Desulfobulbaceae.